RNAcentral lists this ribosomal RNA (2933 nucleotides) under Klebsiella aerogenes. RNAcentral describes it as "23S ribosomal RNA". It matches the Rfam family "Bacterial large subunit ribosomal RNA". The record is from RNAcentral. Lineage: Bacteria; Pseudomonadati; Pseudomonadota; Gammaproteobacteria; Enterobacterales; Enterobacteriaceae.
GGGUUGUGAGGUUAAGCGACUAAGCGUACACGGUGGAUGCCCUGGCAGUCAGAGGCGAUGAAGGACGUGCUAAUCUGCGAAAAGCGUCGGUAAGGUGAUAUGAACCGUUACAGCCGGCGAUGUCCGAAUGGGGAAACCCAGUGCAAUUCGUUGCACUAUCGUUAACUGAAUACAUAGGUUAACGAGGCGAACCGGGGGAACUGAAACAUCUAAGUACCCCGAGGAAAAGAAAUCAACCGAGAUUCCCCCAGUAGCGGCGAGCGAACGGGGAGCAGCCCAGAGUCUGAAUCAGCUUGUGUGUUAGUGGAACGGUCUGGAAAGUCCGACGGUACAGGGUGAUAGUCCCGUACACCAAAAUGCACAGGCUGUGAACUCGAAGAGUAGGGCGGGACACGUGGUAUCCUGUCUGAAUAUGGGGGGACCAUCCUCCAAGGCUAAAUACUCCUGACUGACCGAUAGUGAACCAGUACCGUGAGGGAAAGGCGAAAAGAACCCCGGCGAGGGGAGUGAAAAAGAACCUGAAACCGUGUACGUACAAGCAGUGGGAGCACCUUCGGGUGUGACUGCGUACCUUUUGUAUAAUGGGUCAGCGACUUAUAUUCUGUAGCAAGGUUAACCGUAUAGGGGAGCCGCAGGGAAACCGAGUCUUAACUGGGCGUUAAGUUGCAGGGUAUAGACCCGAAACCCGGUGAUCUAGCCAUGGGCAGGUUGAAGGUUGGGUAACACUAACUGGAGGACCGAACCGACUAAUGUUGAAAAAUUAGCGGAUGACUUGUGGCUGGGGGUGAAAGGCCAAUCAAACCGGGAGAUAGCUGGUUCUCCCCGAAAGCUAUUUAGGUAGCGCCUCGUGAACUCAUCUUCGGGGGUAGAGCACUGUUUCGGCUAGGGGGUCAUCCCGACUUACCAACCCGAUGCAAACUACGAAUACCGAAGAAUGUUAUCACGGGAGACACACGGCGGGUGCUAACGUCCGUCGUGAAGAGGGAAACAACCCAGACCGCCAGCUAAGGUCCCAAAGUCACAGUUAAGUGGGAAACGAUGUGGGAAGGCACAGACAGCCAGGAUGUUGGCUUAGAAGCAGCCAUCAUUUAAAGAAAGCGUAAUAGCUCACUGGUCGAGUCGGCCUGCGCGGAAGAUGUAACGGGGCUAAACUGUGCACCGAAGCUGCGGCAGCGACACUUAGGUGUUGUUGGGUAGGGGAGCGUUCUGUAAGCCUGCGAAGGUGGCCUGUGAGGGUUGCUGGAGGUAUCAGAAGUGCGAAUGCUGACAUAAGUAACGAUAAUGCGGGUGAAAAGCCCGCACGCCGGAAGACCAAGGGUUCCUGUCCAACGUUAAUCGGGGCAGGGUGAGUCGACCCCUAAGGCGAGGCCGAAAGGCGUAGUCGAUGGGAAACAGGUUAAUAUUCCUGUACUUGGUGUUACUGCGAAGGGGGGACGGAGAAGGCUAUGUUAGCCGGGCGACGGUUGUCCCGGUUUAAGCAUGUAGGCGGAGGUUCCAGGUAAAUCCGGUACCUUAUUAACGCUGAGGUGUGAUGACGAGGCACUACGGUGCUGAAGUAACAAAUGCCCUGCUUCCAGGAAAAGCCUCUAAGCAUCAGGUAACAUUGAAUCGUACCCCAAACCGACACAGGUGGUCAGGUAGAGAAUACCAAGGCGCUUGAGAGAACUCGGGUGAAGGAACUAGGCAAAAUGGUGCCGUAACUUCGGGAGAAGGCACGCUGAUAUGUAGGUGAAGCCCCUGCGGGUGGAGCUGAAAUCAGUCGAAGAUACCAGCUGGCUGCAACUGUUUAUUAAAAACACAGCACUGUGCAAACACGAAAGUGGACGUAUACGGUGUGACGCCUGCCCGGUGCCGGAAGGUUAAUUGAUGGGGUUAUCCGUAAGGAGAAGCUCUUGAUCGAAGCCCCGGUAAACGGCGGCCGUAACUAUAACGGUCCUAAGGUAGCGAAAUUCCUUGUCGGGUAAGUUCCGACCUGCACGAAUGGCGUAAUGAUGGCCAGGCUGUCUCCACCCGAGACUCAGUGAAAUUGAACUCGCUGUGAAGAUGCAGUGUACCCGCGGCAAGACGGAAAGACCCCGUGAACCUUUACUAUAGCUUGACACUGAACAUUGAGCCUUGAUGUGUAGGAUAGGUGGGAGGCUUUGAAGCGUGGACGCCAGUCUGCGUGGAGCCAACCUUGAAAUACCACCCUUUAAUGUUUGAUGUUCUAACGUUGGCCCCUUAUCGGGGUUGCGGACAGUGUCUGGUGGGUAGUUUGACUGGGGCGGUCUCCUCCCAAAGAGUAACGGAGGAGCACGAAGGUUAGCUAAUCCUGGUCGGACAUCAGGAGGUUAGUGCAAUGGCAUAAGCUAGCUUGACUGCGAGCGUGACGGCGCGAGCAGGUGCGAAAGCAGGUCAUAGUGAUCCGGUGGUUCUGAAUGGAAGGGCCAUCGCUCAACGGAUAAAAGGUACUCCGGGGAUAACAGGCUGAUACCGCCCAAGAGUUCAUAUCGACGGCGGUGUUUGGCACCUCGAUGUCGGCUCAUCACAUCCUGGGGCUGAAGUAGGUCCCAAGGGUAUGGCUGUUCGCCAUUUAAAGUGGUACGCGAGCUGGGUUUAGAACGUCGUGAGACAGUUCGGUCCCUAUCUGCCGUGGGCGCUGGAGAAUUGAGGGGGGCUGCUCCUAGUACGAGAGGACCGGAGUGGACGCAUCACUGGUGUUCGGGUUGUCAUGCCAAUGGCAUUGCCCGGUAGCUAAAUGCGGAAGAGAUAAGUGCUGAAAGCAUCUAAGCACGAAACUUGCCCCGAGAUGAGUUCUCCCUGAGACUUUAAGUCUCCUGAAGGAACGUUAAAGACGAUGACGUUGAUAGGUCGGGUGUGUAAGCGUAGCGAUACGUUGAGCUAACCGAUACUAAUGAACCGUGAGGCUUAACCUUACAACGCCGAAGGUGUUU